AAGUGUCAGAGCACUUUUAGAAUUGGUCUAGGAGGUUUUCUGGUUUUCACUAGAAGAUCCUC
Small nuclear RNA from Otolemur garnettii (small-eared galago), 62 nucleotides. Its record names the gene U7. It matches the Rfam family "U7 small nuclear RNA". Rfam says of the family: Animal histone pre-mRNAs are spliced by a different mechanism than nuclear pre-mRNAs and self-splicing introns. This processing involves the U7 snRNP, which contains only one RNA species: U7. NCBI's taxonomy places the organism in Eukaryota, Metazoa, Chordata, Mammalia, Primates, Galagidae. The record is from Ensembl.